GAUGAACGCUGGCGGCGUGCCUAAUACAUGCAAGUCGAGCGAACAGACGAGGAGCUUGCUCCUCUGACGUUAUCGGCGGACGGGUGAGUAACACGUGGAUAACCUACCUAUAAGACUGGGAUAACUUCGGGAAACCGGAGCUAAUACCGGAUAAUAUAUUGAACCGCAUGGUUCAAUAGUGAAAGACGGUUUUGCUGUCACUUAUAGAUGGAUCCGCGCCGCAUUAGCUAGUUGGUAAGGUAACGGCUUACCAAGGCAACGAUGCGUAGCCGACCUGAGAGGGUGGACGGACACACUGGAGCUGAGACACGGUCCAGACUCCGACGGGAGGAAGCGGUAGGGAAUCUUCCGCAAUGGGCGAAAGCCUGACGGAGCAACGCCGCGUGAGUGAUGAAGGUCUUCGGAUCGUAAAACUCUGUUAUUAGGGAAGAACAAAUGUGUAAGUAACUAUGCUCGUCUUGACGGUACCUAAUCAGAAAGCCACGGCUAACUACGUG
RNAcentral lists this ribosomal RNA (497 nucleotides) under uncultured bacterium. RNAcentral's name for it is "partial 16S ribosomal RNA". It matches the Rfam family "Bacterial small subunit ribosomal RNA", at positions 28 to 507 of the family's 1533-position model. The record is from RNAcentral.